This 466-nucleotide ribosomal RNA is filed under the name uncultured bacterium. RNAcentral describes it as "partial 16S ribosomal RNA". It matches the Rfam family "Bacterial small subunit ribosomal RNA", at positions 28 to 507 of the family's 1533-position model. The record is from RNAcentral.
GAUGAACGCUGGCGGCGUGCUUAACACAUGCAAGUCGAACGAUGAAGCCCAGCUUGCUGGGUGGAUUAGUGGCGAACGGGUGAGUAACACGUGAGUAACCUGCCCUUGACUCUGGGAUAAGCCUGGGAAACUGGGUCUAAUACUGGAUAUGACUUCUCAUCGCAUGGUGGGGGGUGGAAAGAUUUAUUGGUCUUGGAUGGACUCGCGGCCUAUCAGCUUGUUGGUGAGGUAAUGGCUCACCAAGGCGACGACGGGUAGCCGGCCUGAGAGGGUGACCGGCCACACUGGGACUGAGACACGGCCCAGACUCCUACGGGAGGCAGCAGUGGGGAAUAUUGCACAAUGGGCGCAAGCCUGAUGCAGCGACGCCGCGUGAGGGAUGAAGGCCUUCGGGUUGUAAACCUCUUUCAGUAGGGAAGAAGCGAGAGUGACGGUACCUGCAGAAGAAGCGCCGGCUAACUACGUG